CCUAGAGUUGUAGGCUUUGCCUGCUAUCUCUUACCCAUGUCUUUUGAGUACCUUCGUUUCCUCGGCGGGUCCGCCCGCCGAUUGGACAAUUUAAACCAUUUGGCAGUUGCAAUCAGCGUCUGAAAAAAACUUAAUAGUUA
RNAcentral lists this unclassified non-coding RNA (140 nucleotides) under soil metagenome. RNAcentral's name for it is "partial internal transcribed spacer 1". The record is from RNAcentral.